Molecule: ribosomal RNA, 497 nt
Filed under: uncultured bacterium
Lineage: Bacteria
Description: partial 16S ribosomal RNA
Rfam family: Bacterial small subunit ribosomal RNA
Source: RNAcentral
GACGAACGCUGGCGGCGUGCCUAAUACAUGCAAGUUGAGCGCUGAAGGUUGGUACUUGUACCAACUGGAUGAGCAGCGAACGGGUGAGUAACGCGUGGGGAAUCUGCCUUUGAGCGGGGGACAACAUUUGGAAACGAAUGCUAAUACCGCAUAAAAACUUUAAACACAAGUUUUAAGUUUGAAAGAUGCAAUUGCCUCACUCAAAGAUGAUCCCGCGUUGUAUUAGCUAGUUGGUGAGGUAAAGGCUCACCAAGGCGAUGAUACAUAGCCGACCUGAGAGGGUGAUCGGCCACAUUGGGACUGAGACACGGCCCAAACUCCUACGGGAGGCAGCAGGAGGGAAUCUUCGGCAAUGGACGAAAGUCUUACCGAGCAACGCCGCGUGAGGGAAGAAGGUUUUCGGAUCGUAAAACUCUGUUGGUAGAGAAGAACGUUGGUGAGAGUGGAAAGCUCAUCAAGUGACGGUAACUACCCAGAAAGGGACGGCUAACUACGUG